Molecule: ribosomal RNA, 566 nt
Filed under: uncultured Glomeromycotina
Lineage: Eukaryota; Fungi; Glomeromycota
Description: SSU rRNA
Rfam family: Eukaryotic small subunit ribosomal RNA
Source: RNAcentral
UUGGAGGGCAAGUCUGGUGCCAGCAGCCGCGGUAAUUCCAGCUCCAAUAGCGUAUAUUAAAGUUGUUGCAGUUAAAAAGCUCGUAGUUGAAUUUCGGGAUCAAUGUUUCGGUCAUGCCGUUGGUAUGUACUGAUAUUAUUGAUUUCUCACCUUCUAAAGAACCGUAAUGCCAUUAAUUUGGUGUCACGGGGAAUUAGGACUGUUACCUUGAAAAAAUUAGAGUGUUUAAAGCAGGCUCACGCUUGAAUACAUUAGCAUGGAAUAAUGAAAUAGGACAUCCGAUUCUAUUUUGUUGGUUUCUAGGAUCGAUGUAAUGAUUAAUAGGGAUAGUUGGGGGCAUUAGUAUUCAAUUGUCAGAGGUGAAAUUCUUGGAUUUAUUGAAGACUAACUACUGCGAAAGCAUUUGCCAAGGAUGUUUUCAUUAAUCAAGAACGAAAGUUAGGGGACCGAAGACGAUCAGAUACCGUCGUAGUCUUAACCAUAAACUAUGCCGACUAGGGAUCGGAUGAUGUUAAUUUUUUAAUGACUCAUUCGGCGCCUUACGGGAAACCAAAGUGUUUGGGUUC